RNAcentral lists this ribosomal RNA (440 nucleotides) under uncultured bacterium. RNAcentral's name for it is "partial 16S ribosomal RNA". It matches the Rfam family "Bacterial small subunit ribosomal RNA", at positions 338 to 795 of the family's 1533-position model. The record is from RNAcentral.
CCUACGGGAGGCAGCAGUGGGGAAUAUUGCACAAUGGGGGAAACCCUGAUGCAGCGACGCCGCGUGAGUGAAGAAGUAUUUCGGUAUGUAAAGCUCCAUCAGCAGGGAAGAAAAUGACGGUACCUGAUUAAGAAGCCACGGGUAACUACGUGCCAGCAGCCGCGGUCAUACGUAGGGGGCAAGCGUUAUCCGGAUUUACUGGGUGUAAAGGGAGCGUAGACGGCAGCGCAAGUCUGAAGUGAAAUGCCGGGGCUUAACCCCGGAACUGCUUUGGAAACUGUGCAGCUAGAGUGCAGGAGAGGUAAGUGGAAUUCGUAGUGUAGCGGUGAAAUGCGUAGAUAUUAGGAGGAACACCAGUGGCGAAGGCAGCUUACUGGACUGUAACUGACGUUGAGGCUCGAAAGCGUGGGGAGCAAACAGGAUUAGAUACCCCUGUAGUC